UCUUCUCACCUCUCAUUUUACAAAUGAGGCAUUAUCUCUAUAUACAGACAUGUAAUGUAAGUGAUAGGGAAUUUCCAAACCUUUAUAAAGUUAUUUAACAUUUAUUAAAUCCUUUAUAGCAGCAACUGUGGAUAACAGGGUCCCUACCUAUGAAGGGCAAGAAGCUAUUCAGACAUUAUUAAACUAAUAGUAUAGAUGUACUUUUAAAAGUCAUUUUAAAUUCCACAUUUAAUACUCUAGAGCUAGGUGCUAUGUUUAUUCAAAACUGUAGUAUGUAAAACAUUUACAAAUAGUCCCAUGGAGGACUCACAGAUAUUUUAAAUUUAGGAUGUGGCUUUGACAUUGACAGUGCAUAAGAAAAAAGGUGUAUCAACUAUAUAUUGGCAACUUAAUGUGAAAGAGAAUUUUACUUUAGCAAAUACUUUUACAUUAAGGAAAAUGUCCUUAAAUUUUAUUUUAGUAUACUUAGGGGAAAAAAUAGUGAUUCCUUUUAUAUAGUUCUCAAGGAUUAAAAUUUACUCCAAAGAUCAUGGUUACAAAAUACAUGGUAAAGAAUGGUUUCAAAAUACUUGUAUUUUUGUUUUCAAUUAAAUUCCCCCAAAUUGAUUUUCUUU
This 614-nucleotide long non-coding RNA is filed under the name Bos taurus (domestic cattle). Its description in RNAcentral is "long non-coding RNA NONBTAT024143". Lineage: Eukaryota; Metazoa; Chordata; Mammalia; Artiodactyla; Bovidae. The record is from RNAcentral.